This 279-nucleotide ribosomal RNA is filed under the name uncultured bacterium. RNAcentral's name for it is "partial 16S ribosomal RNA". It matches the Rfam family "Bacterial small subunit ribosomal RNA", at positions 506 to 784 of the family's 1533-position model. The record is from RNAcentral.
UGCUAGCAGCCGCGGUAAUACGGAGGCUGCUACCGUUAAUCGGAAUUACUGGGCGUAAAGCGACCGUAGGCGGCUUGUUAAGUCGGAUGUGAAAGCACCGGGCUCAACCUGGGAACUGCAUUCGAUACUGGCAAGCUAGAGUAUAGAAGAGGCAAGUGGAAUUCCGGGUGUAGCGGUGAAAUGCGUAGAUAUCCGGAGGAACAUCAGUGGCGAAGGCGACUUGCUGGUCUAAUACUGACGCUGAGGUGCGAAAGCGUGGGGAGCAAACGGGAUUAGAUA